This 192-nucleotide small nuclear RNA is filed under the name Helianthus annuus (common sunflower). RNAcentral describes it as "U2 spliceosomal RNA". It matches the Rfam family "U2 spliceosomal RNA". Rfam says of the family: U2 is a small nuclear RNA (snRNA) component of the spliceosome (involved in pre-mRNA splicing). Complementary binding between U2 snRNA (in an area lying towards the 5' end but 3' to hairpin I) and the branchpoint sequence (BPS) of the intron results the bulging out of an unpaired adenosine, on the BPS, which initiates a nucleophilic attack at the intronic 5' splice site, thus starting the first of two transesterification reactions that mediate splicing. The record is from RNAcentral. Lineage: Eukaryota; Viridiplantae; Streptophyta; Magnoliopsida; Asterales; Asteraceae.
AUACCUUUCUCGGCCUUUUGGCUAAGAUCAAGUGUAGUAUCUGUUCUUAUCAGUUUAAUAUCUGAUAUGUGGGUCAUCGGCCCACUCGAUAUUAAUCUUAUUUUUUAUGGGGAAAGACCCAUCACAAUAGCUGGCUAUUGGGGUCUUUGUCACCUUGGUCUUGCACUACCACCUUGGCCUGGCGCACCCCUC